Molecule: long non-coding RNA, 219 nt
Filed under: Helianthus annuus (common sunflower)
Lineage: Eukaryota; Viridiplantae; Streptophyta; Magnoliopsida; Asterales; Asteraceae
Description: hypothetical non coding rna
Source: RNAcentral
UCGGCGACUAAACAAUGGAAACUCUCUGGUAAGGGGUUUUCAUCGGCGACCCAAAACUUAGGGUUCCGGCGCAGCAGGCACGUCAAAAACGGGAUCUCCAUCAUGCAUUCACAUCAAAGAUGAAUUUGGAAAAGAAAACUGAACGUGUGUUGGAAAUAGUGGAGUCAAGGACAGCAACUAGCAAACCACCAAACUAGAGAAUGAUGGAUCUUCAAGAAU